CCUACGGGAGGCAGCAGUGGGGAAUUUUGGACAAUGGACGCAAGUCUGAUCCAGCCAUGCCGCGUGCGGGAAGAAGGCCUUCGGGUUGUAAACCGCUUUUGUCAGGGAAGAAAAGGUUCUGGUUAAUACCUGGGACUCAUGACGGUACCUGAAGAAUAAGCACCGGCUAACUACGUGCCAGCAGCCGCGGUAAUACGUAGGGUGCAAGCGUUAAUCGGAAUUACUGGGCGUAAAGCGUGCGCAGGCGGUUAUGCAAGACAGAGGUGAAAUCCCCGGGCUCAACCUGGGAACUGCCUUUGUGACCGCAUAGCUAGAGUACGGUAGAGGGGGAUGGAAUUCCGCGUGUAGCAGUGAAAUGCGUAGAUAUGCGGAGGAACACCGAUGGCGAAGGCAAUCCCCUGGACCUGUACUGACGCUCAUGCACGAAAGCGUGGGGAGCAAACAGGAUUAGAUACCCUGGUAGUCCACGCCCUAAACGAUGUCAACUGGUUGUUGGGAGGGUUUCUUCUCAGUAACGUAGCUAACGCGUGAAGUUGACCGCCUGGGGAGUACGGCCGCAAGGUUGAAAACUCAAAGGAAUUGACGG
RNAcentral lists this ribosomal RNA (586 nucleotides) under uncultured bacterium. RNAcentral describes it as "bacterial SSU rRNA". It matches the Rfam family "Bacterial small subunit ribosomal RNA", at positions 338 to 916 of the family's 1533-position model. The record is from RNAcentral.